GCCUUCGUAGUGUAGUGGUCAGCACGCUCGACGCGAAUUCGAGAGGUCCGUGAUUCGAUUCCUGGCGAAGACG
RNAcentral lists this transfer RNA (73 nucleotides) under Stegodyphus dumicola. RNAcentral describes it as "tRNA-Ser". It matches the Rfam family "tRNA". From Rfam's summary of the family: Transfer RNA (tRNA) molecules are approximately 80 nucleotides in length. Their secondary structure includes four short double-helical elements and three loops (D, anti-codon, and T loops). Further hydrogen bonds mediate the characteristic L-shaped molecular structure. tRNAs have two regions of fundamental functional importance: the anti-codon, which is responsible for specific mRNA codon recognition, and the 3' end, to which the tRNAs corresponding amino acid is attached (by aminoacyl-tRNA synthetases). tRNAs cope with the degeneracy of the genetic code in two manners: having more than one tRNA (with a specific anti-codon) for a particular amino acid; and 'wobble' base-pairing, i.e. permitting non-standard base-pairing at the 3rd anti-codon position. Lineage: Eukaryota; Metazoa; Arthropoda; Arachnida; Araneae; Eresidae. The record is from RNAcentral.